RNAcentral lists this long non-coding RNA (739 nucleotides) under Homo sapiens (human). Its description in RNAcentral is "HSALNT0187381". Lineage: Eukaryota; Metazoa; Chordata; Mammalia; Primates; Hominidae. The record is from RNAcentral.
GGGCUGGCUCUCAGUCACCACAGCAUGGGUGGCCUUUAUGUUCAGGUUUUGCCCAAGAGUCAGCUUAUUUGCUUCUAGUACUAGCAGGGUAGAUGCUGCCAAGGCCCUCAAACAGGGGGGCCAUCCUUUAAAAACCCUGUCUAGUUGUUUAGAGACGUAGGCCUCCGGCCUCAGCCAGGGCCCCACAGUUUGGGUUAAAAGUCCAGCUGCCAUCUUUUCUCUCUCUGACACAUACAAUGGAAAAGGUUUUGUCAGAUCGGGUAGCCCCAGGGCUGGGGCUGCCAGAAGUUUUUCCUUUAACUCAUGAAAACCUUGCUGUUGUUGGGAUCCCCAUUCCAAAGCUUCCCGGUCCCCGCCCCCUUUGUGACCUCAUACAAAGGCUUGGCUAAUAACUGGAAAGUUUGGGAUCCACUGUCUUCAUAACCCCACAGCUCCUAAGAAUUCUCUCACCUGCCUUCUGCCCUUAGGCUCUGGUAGAUUGCAAACGACCUGCUUUCUUUGUGAUCCCGGGCUGCAUUCGGACCCCUGUCGGACAGUAAAUCCCAAGUAAGGCUCCGGUAGAUUGCAAACGACCUGCUUUCUUCCUGAUCCCGGGCUGCGUUCGGACCCCUGUGGUAUAGUAAAUCCCAAGUAAGGUACCUGCGGUCGGCAGAUCUGAGCUUUCUUCUUGGACACCUAAUACCCAGGGUCCUCCAGGUGGGUCCUAAGGAUCUUAGGAUUCGCGAUGGGGGUCUUAGCC